This 425-nucleotide ribosomal RNA is filed under the name uncultured bacterium. Its description in RNAcentral is "bacterial SSU rRNA". It matches the Rfam family "Bacterial small subunit ribosomal RNA", at positions 354 to 796 of the family's 1533-position model. The record is from RNAcentral.
GUGGGGAAUAUUGCACAAUGGGCGAAAGCCUGAUGCAGCAACGCCGCGUGAGUGAUGAAGGCCUUAGGGUUGUAAAGCUCUUUCAGUAGGGAAGAUAAUGACGGUACCUACAGAAGAAGCCCCGGCUAACUUCGUGCCAGCAGCCGCGGUAAUACGAAGGGGGCUAGCGUUGUUCGGAUUUACUGGGCGUAAAGCGCACGUAGGCGGAUUGGUCAGUUAGAGGUGAAAUCCCGAAGCUCAACUUCGGAACUGCCUUUAAUACUGCCAGUCUCGAGUCCGGAAGAGGGGAGUGGAACUCCUAGUGUAGAGGUGGAAUUCGUAGAUAUUAGGAAGAACACCAGUGGCGAAGGCGGCUCACUGGUCCGGUACUGACGCUGAGGUGCGAAAGCGUGGGGAGCAAACAGGAUUAGAAACCCCGGUAGUCC